CAGAUUUGGUGACGUCUCGCACAAGACUGUUACCACGGUUCAGAAACUUGCCGGUUUACUGAACCUUCGAAAAACCACCCUGCAAGGUGGUUUUUUCGU
This 99-nucleotide non-coding RNA is filed under the name Klebsiella aerogenes. Lineage: Bacteria; Pseudomonadati; Pseudomonadota; Gammaproteobacteria; Enterobacterales; Enterobacteriaceae. The record is from RNAcentral. RNAcentral also lists the same sequence under 3 other names.